ACAGUGAACUCAUCCUUAUAAUAGUGGGCACAGUGUUUGGAGCCAUUAUCCUGUGUUUAGUGAUAGCAGUCUCUGUUAUUUCAGUCAGAGCAAGGCACAAACAAAAUCCAGAGAAGAGGAGCCUGAUCCAGUCAGGGUAUUCUGACAUGAACAUUGAUGAGAGACCAAGCAUGUUCCCCAGGGUCCAGACCACCUCUGGCCAUGCAAACCCAGGAUAUCAGCCCAACAACCCCUAUGAGAUGCGUUCCAGAAGCAGAGAUCAUUUUCCAGAGAGGGAUUAUGAUGAUUUGUAUGAAAUAUCACGGGAGCCCACAGGCUUUAGGAAACAGAGCAGAUACUGAGUGACCAGAGCAGCAGGAUGGAUGAGCACCACAGCCCUGGGUCAGAGCAAAGAGUUUCACAGCCUUUCACCAAUGCAGUACUUCAGCAGAAGAGAAAACAAGGACCUUAACCCCAGAUUCUCUCAAGAUUUUCUAGAGGAAGAUUCCUGCUUGAAAGAGAUCAUGGAUAACUUUGAAAUAAGGGAAUAAUGUUAGGGAGUAGGGAGAAGAAGAGGACUUCUUUUAAAAGAACUAAUGUGCUCCAAUAAACAUUAGACUUCUUCAAUGAGGCCAGUACAUUGGCAAGAGAGUGAGUGCCCACAAGAUACCAGGAUUUUAACCCUGCUGGUUUUCAGCUCUUCUGGAAGCUCUUCUGGCCCAGGCAAUAUGUGUGAUGCUGAAGAACAUCAGUUCCCAGAGCUUCACUUGGAUUUGUGCUCACUUAAUUUGAACUACAGCUUUGGGCGGAUGAAAACUGUUUUUCAUGAAAAUCGGACCUGUUUCAAUUUACUGUGUUAGAUACAGGUUUUUUUCACUCUUCUCAACCCCUCAAUAUUUCCCAUCUGAAAGCAUUCUGUUCAGAUCUCUGCUGACAUGGGUUGUGUGACACAAUGGCACUUGUCUGACUUUUUCCACAGCCUUCUUUCCCAAUACAAUGGCAAGAUACAAUAUCUCCAAACAAACGCUAUUCUUCUUCAUCUUGCAAAACUGCAUUGAUUUUACAUUUUUAGCUCCUGUGGAAAGUGUUAGCAUUUUUCUUUCUUCUCCAGUCUUUAUGUUUGAAUGAUAAUAAGCUUGGUGUUUGGGUUUUUAAAAAAUUUCUUACAUACAGUCAAUAAAUCAGUCUGUAAAAGAAUUUAUAUUUUACUGUGUUUUACUGAGUGUGCAUUAUCUGUUGACUGCCAUUAACAUUAUAUUUAUAUAAAAUACUUCUUUGCACACAUGUACAUAUAUUUAUAGAUUACAAUCAUUUAUAUAAUCAUUUAAUUCUGUUGUAUUUUGUGUUUUGGUUAUAUGUGCAGAUUGACUUUUCCUAUUAAACAUUAUUUUUUCUCAGUA
Molecule: long non-coding RNA, 1379 nt
Organism: Melospiza melodia melodia
Lineage: Eukaryota; Metazoa; Chordata; Aves; Passeriformes; Passerellidae
Exons: 3
Source: RefSeq, a predicted model, not a curated record